AAACCAACAKGSAUNGCCCNAGUANCGGCGAGUGANGCGGCAACAGCUCAAAUUUGAAAUCUGGCCCCAGGCCCGAGUUGUAAUUUGCAGAGGAUGCUUUUGGCGCGGUGCCUUCCGAGUUCCCUGGAACGGGACGCCAUAGAGGGUGAGAGCCCCGUACGGUUGGACACCAAGCCUUUGUAAAGCUCCUUCGACGAGUCGAGUAGUUUGGGAAUGCUGCUCUAAAUGGGAGGUACAUUUCUUCUAAAGCUAAAUAUUGGCCAGAGACCGAUAGCGCACAAGUAGAGUGAUCGAAAGAUGAAAAGCACUUUGAAAAGAGGGUUAAACAGCACGUGAAAUUGUUAAAAGGGAAGCGCUUGUGACCAGACUUGCGUCCGGUGAAUCACCCAGCUCUCGCGGCUGGGGCACUUCGCCGGCACAGGCCAGCAUCAGCUUGCCGUCGGGGACAAAAGCUUCAGGAACGUGGCUCCUCUCGGGGAGUGUUAUAGCCUGUUGCACAAUACCCUUCGGCGGGCUGAGGUACGCGCUCCGCAAGGAUGCNGGCGWAAWGNGUNCNAUYAGCGAC
RNAcentral lists this ribosomal RNA (565 nucleotides) under uncultured fungus. RNAcentral describes it as "partial 26S ribosomal RNA". It matches the Rfam family "Eukaryotic large subunit ribosomal RNA", at positions 62 to 648 of the family's 3401-position model. Lineage: Eukaryota; Fungi. The record is from RNAcentral.